Long non-coding RNA from Lolium rigidum, 337 nucleotides. RefSeq lists it as uncharacterized. The record is from RefSeq and is a predicted model, not a curated record. The transcript is spliced from 3 exons. Lineage: Eukaryota; Viridiplantae; Streptophyta; Magnoliopsida; Poales; Poaceae.
GAGCAAAUAUACCAAAGUUUUCAUUCAAGUUUUGUCCAUUUGAUAAACUGCCAGAAAUGGAUAUUAUGACAAGACCUCUACAAGAUAUGAUUGGAGUCAUUAGUCACGUGGGACCAUUUGAAUAUGCAAGCCCAACAUCUCAACAUAAACUCAAGAUAAUCAAAAUUCGAAACCUAGACGAACAAACACAGGAAAUACGUCUUUGGGGCAAGCAUGGCGAGGCCUUUGAUGAAGAAGCAGUACUUAAAAAGUCACAAGAAGGCACUGUAGUUGGGAUUUUUGCUGGUGUCACUGCGGGGAAUUUUUUGGGCAAACUAACAAUAUCUUCAAACUCUGC